Molecule: long non-coding RNA, 828 nt
Organism: Cornus florida
Lineage: Eukaryota; Viridiplantae; Streptophyta; Magnoliopsida; Cornales; Cornaceae
Exons: 2
Source: RefSeq, a predicted model, not a curated record
AACUCGCAGAAUAGUUUUCUGUUCUGGGAGUUUCCAAAAUUCAGAAAACCAAUUUUUGUUCUACUUGGACCUGUUUUCAUAGAAUAGUUUUUUAAAAACUCAGAACUCAUAGUAUCAGUUUUUGGAGAACAACUUUUAGGUGUUCUGAGAGUUUUGGAAACUCAGUUCUCAUUUUUUAGAAAACACGAAGAACGCCCCCGACUUGAAAAAAAAUGAUGGUACUUUCACGCUCGUUUAAAACAUUCAUCCUUCAUCAACCCUCUCUCUCCUCUCUGAUAGAACUCACGACUCGCUCUUUCUCAACCGACUCACAGACUCAUCAUCAUUCUUCAGCAUCCACUCUCUCGCCCCAUCAGUAGAUCAAGAAUCCCUUCAGGUAACACGAUUCAUAAUUUUAUUCGUCAAAAUGCACUAGUUGGUUGCUUUUUUAUGGAGUAUGAAGAAGAAGAUUAUGUUAUUGGUGAAGGGAAUGCUAGCACAAGUCAAGGACCGAAUGCAGUUAACUUCUAUGAAGCAAAGUCUAGUGGGAUAGAAUCACAUACCUUUACAAGUGAUGUUCAUCCAAAUUUGAGCUAGAUGAUGUUCAUCCAAAUAGAAUCACAUAUUUCAUUUUUUUCCAUGUCUUUUAAGUUUAGAUGAGAAGUGAGAUGGUUUAUGUACGUAGACAUUGGAUUCAUGUAAUGUUAUGAAUGAAAGAAACCCAGAAUACAAGAGCAGUUCUUUGCUACACAAUUCCUAUGAUAAGAUGGUUUAUGUAUGUAGACAUUGAAUUCAUGUAAUCUUAUGAAUGAAAGAAGCCCCAUAAUACAAGUCUUUUUUUAAUUUUUA